UACGUAGGGUGCGAGCGUUAAUCGGAUUUACUGGGCGUAAAGCGAGCGCAGGUGGUUUAAUAAGUCUGAUGUAAAAGGCAGUGGCUCAACCAGUGUGUGCAUUGGAAACUGUUAGACAUGAGUGCAGUAGAGGAGAGUGGAAUUCCAUGUGUAGCGGUGAAAUGCGUAGAUAUAUGGAGGAACACCGGUGGCGAAAGCGGCUCUCUGGACUGUAACUGACACUGAGGCUCGAAAGCGUGGGUAGCAAACAGG
Molecule: ribosomal RNA, 252 nt
Filed under: uncultured microorganism
Description: partial 16S ribosomal RNA
Rfam family: Bacterial small subunit ribosomal RNA
Source: RNAcentral